CUACCUGUGUUGUGCUCAGGCAGAGCUAAGUUCUAAACUGAUUUGCAUAUACAAUCAGAGGAGCCACUGUGCAAUGACAUCAUCACAGCAUGAUAGAGGUCACAGAUAGAACCCAACUGGUAUUGAUGCAGACAGGAAGCCAAAGCAUUCUAUCUUCUACUCUGAGAAUACCUCAAGGCUGGAUAUAAAACAUUGAGAGAUCAUGUGACAUCUUCAAGGCAACAGACUCUGUCUUUCAUGACCAGAACAAGGUCCCAUUCACUGGAUCUUAGGCACAGAUGAAGCUUGAGGAAUUUGAGUACGGAACUUUGGUUCUUGGAGAAGCAAGUUAGACUCACUAUUAUACCGAAGCCAAUUGAUGCUAAUUCAACAAAGUCAUCUCGUGUACACUCUGGACUCCAAUCUCCCCACUUAUCCUCCG
Rattus norvegicus (Norway rat) is the source of this 421-nucleotide long non-coding RNA. Ensembl lists it as uncharacterized. The record is from Ensembl. Lineage: Eukaryota; Metazoa; Chordata; Mammalia; Rodentia; Muridae.